Molecule: long non-coding RNA, 824 nt
Organism: Aethalodelphis obliquidens (Pacific white-sided dolphin)
Lineage: Eukaryota; Metazoa; Chordata; Mammalia; Artiodactyla; Delphinidae
Exons: 5
Source: RefSeq, a predicted model, not a curated record
UACAGCCAGUGCAGGGCCCCCAGCCCAGGAUGAGAACAGGACCACACCUGGCUCCUCCAGGCAGCCGCUGGACUCCAGGACACUGACUCUGCAAGAUUUAUUUUGACCACAUUAUAAUACGAAUGAGGGGAAAACUGUCUGAUGGAAUAUCCAGUCCACACUUGGGAACAGACUGCUUGAAGAACAUUCUCAUUUCCAGAUUGGAACAUGCCCUUCCAGAAUGAGAAUUCGUUCAGCCUCUCUGCCCAGUUCUGAUCUGUAAGCUUCCACCUCGAUUCCUUAAUUCCACGUAGCCCAGGUCCCACACCAGCUUUCCGGCCAUCAUACUCGCCCCUGGGGAAAAAUGAGAGAUAUCCAAAUGUGAGAAAGAACGGCAAUCACCACUAUCAACAGCUAACAUUGACGAGACUCCAGCUCUGUACCAGGAAGAGAAAGGUGGAACAGGAGAACCAAGAGAAACAGGAGCCAGCGUUUUUUCUAUGGAUGGGUAGAAGGUUCCUACAGGUUGUGCCUGUGAGGAAAGCAUACAACCUAAGCUGCUAUUGUGAAGCCACCAUUUCAUUCAUUUCAUCAUCUACUUGGGCCCUGCAAAGCUUUUUUUUUUUUUUUUUUUUUUGCCACCCUGGUUCUGUGGCCCCCUAUCACAGAAAAUCCUCUCCAACACUACUGGAAUAUUUUCACCUGUCUGUUAUGCUGCCUGAAACGUGAAGAUUCAUUUGGGUUAAGAAGCCUGCCAAGGGACUUCCCUGGUGGCACAAUGGUUAAGAAUCCACCUGCCAAUGCAGGGGACAUGGGUUCGAGCCCUGGUCCCGGAAGAUCCCACA